CCCUUAGACGUUCUGGGCCGCACGCGCGCUACACUGACCAGUGCAACAAGCAUCCGUCCUUGGCCGACAGGCCCGGGCAAUCUUUGAACGCUGGUCGUGAUGGGGAUAGACUUUUGCAAUUUUUGGUCUUCAACGAGGAAUUCCUAGUAAACGCAGGUCAUCAACUUGCAUUGAUUACGUCCCUGCCCUUUGUACACACCGCCCGUCGCACCUACCGAUUGAAUGGUCCGGUGAAGCCUCCGGAUUGGCGCGCACCCCGGUGCCGCCGAGAAGUUGGCUAAACCUUACCAUUUAGAGGAAGGUGAAGUCGUAACA
This 315-nucleotide ribosomal RNA is filed under the name uncultured eukaryote. RNAcentral describes it as "partial 18S ribosomal RNA". It matches the Rfam family "Eukaryotic small subunit ribosomal RNA", at positions 1470 to 1796 of the family's 1831-position model. The record is from RNAcentral.